GGUGGGAGCGGGCUUGCCCGCGAUAGCAUAGUGUCAGUCGCUAAAUAGUUGGCUGAUACACCGCUAUCGCGGGCAAGCCUGCUCCCACA
Molecule: unclassified non-coding RNA, 89 nt
Filed under: Pseudomonas gessardii
Lineage: Bacteria; Pseudomonadati; Pseudomonadota; Gammaproteobacteria; Pseudomonadales; Pseudomonadaceae
Source: RNAcentral